RNAcentral lists this ribosomal RNA (433 nucleotides) under uncultured bacterium. Its description in RNAcentral is "partial 16S ribosomal RNA". It matches the Rfam family "Bacterial small subunit ribosomal RNA", at positions 29 to 507 of the family's 1533-position model. The record is from RNAcentral.
AACGAACGCUGGCGGCAUGCCUAACACAUGCAAGUCGAACGGGACCUUCGGGUCUAGUGGCGUACGGGUGGGUAGCGGGUGGGGACCUGCGCUUAGACCCGGAAUAACUCCUCGGAAGGGGAUCUAAUACCGAAUAAUGUCUUCGUACCAAAGAUUAAUCGCGUUUGGAUGGGCGCGCGUUGCAUUAGUUAGUUGGAAGGAUAAAAGCCUACCAAGGCGACGAUCCAGAGCUGGUGGGAGAGAAUGGUCAGCCACACUGGGAGUGAGACACGGCGCAGACUCUUGAGGGAGGCAGCAGUGGGGAAUAUUGGACAAUGGGGGGAAGCAUGAUGCAGUUAUGCCGCGUGAGUGAUGAUGGUCUGAGGGUUGUAAAGCUCUUUUACCCGGGAUGCUAAUGACAGUACCGGGAGAAUAAGCUCCGGCUAACUCCGUG